This 253-nucleotide ribosomal RNA is filed under the name uncultured bacterium. RNAcentral describes it as "partial 16S ribosomal RNA". It matches the Rfam family "Bacterial small subunit ribosomal RNA", at positions 524 to 776 of the family's 1533-position model. The record is from RNAcentral.
UACGUAGGGUGCAAGCGUUGUCCGGAAUUAUUGGGCGUAAAGAGCUCGUAGGCGGUUUGUCGCGUCGAAUGUGAAAACCCGGGGCUCAACCCCGGGCCUGCAUUCGAUACGGGCAGACUAGAGUUCGGUAGGGGAGUCUGGAAUUCCUGGUGUAGCGGUGAAAUGCGCAGAUAUCAGGAGGAACACCGGUGGCGAAGGCGGUUCUCUGGGAAUAUCCUGACGCUGAGGAGCGAAAGUGUGGGGAGCGAACAGG